This 1482-nucleotide ribosomal RNA is filed under the name Weissella confusa. Its description in RNAcentral is "bacterial SSU rRNA". It matches the Rfam family "Bacterial small subunit ribosomal RNA". Lineage: Bacteria; Bacillati; Bacillota; Bacilli; Lactobacillales; Lactobacillaceae. The record is from RNAcentral.
UGUGGCCGGUGGGGCCAAGGGUUCGGAAACCGGCUUUGUGGGUUCAACUGAUUUGAAGAGCUUGCUCAGAUAUGACGAUGGACAUUGCAAAGAGUGGCGAACGGGUGAGUAACACGUGGGAAACCUACCUCUUAGCAGGGGAUAACAUUUGGAAACAGAUGCUAAUACCGUAUAACAAUGACAACCGCAUGGUUGUUAUUUAAAAGAUGGUUCUGCUAUCACUAAGAGAUGGUCCCGCGGUGCAUUAGCUAGUUGGUAAGGUAAUGGCUUACCAAGGCGAUGAUGCAUAGCCGAGUUGAGAGACUGAUCGGCCACAAUGGGACUGAGACACGGCCCAUACUCCUACGGGAGGCAGCAGUAGGGAAUCUUCCACAAUGGGCGAAAGCCUGAUGGAGCAACGCCGCGUGUGUGAUGAAGGGUUUCGGCUCGUAAAACACUGUUGUAAGAGAAGAAUGACAUUGAGAGUAACUGUUCAAUGUGUGACGGUAUCUUACCAGAAAGGAACGGCUAAAUACGUGCCAGCAGCCGCGGUAAUACGUAUGUUCCAAGCGUUAUCCGGAUUUAUUGGGCGUAAAGCGAGCGCAGACGGUUAUUUAAGUCUGAAGUGAAAGCCCUCAGCUCAACUGAGGAAUUGCUUUGGAAACUGGAUGACUUGAGUGCAGUAGAGGAAAGUGGAACUCCAUGUGUAGCGGUGAAAUGCGUAGAUAUAUGGAAGAACACCAGUGGCGAAGGCGGCUUUCUGGACUGUAACUGACGUUGAGGCUCGAAAGUGUGGGUAGCAAACAGGAUUAGAUACCCUGGUAGUCCACACCGUAAACGAUGAGUGCUAGGUGUUUGAGGGUUUCCGCCCUUAAGUGCCGCAGCUAACGCAUUAAGCACUCCGCCUGGGGAGUACGACCGCAAGGUUGAAACUCAAAGGAAUUGACGGGGACCCGCACAAGCGGUGGAGCAUGUGGUUUAAUUCGAAGCAACGCGAAGAACCUUACCAGGUCUUGACAUCCCUUGACAACUCCAGAGAUGGAGCGUUCCCUUCGGGGACAAGGUGACAGGUGGUGCAUGGUUGUCGUCAGCUCGUGUCGUGAGAUGUUGGGUUAAGUCCCGCAACGAGCGCAACCCUUAUUACUAGUUGCCAGCAUUCAGUUGGGCACUCUAGUGAGACUGCCGGUGACAAACCGGAGGAAGGUGGGGAUGACGUCAAAUCAUCAUGCCCCUUAUGACCUGGGCUACACACGUGCUACAAUGGCGUAUACAACGAGUUGCCAACCCGCGAGGGUGAGCUAAUCUCUUAAAGUACGUCUCAGUUCGGAUUGUAGGCUGCAACUCGCCUACAUGAAGUCGGAAUCGCUAGUAAUCGCGGAUCAGCACGCCGCGGUGAAUACGUUCCCGGGUCUUGUACACACCGCCCGUCACACCAUGAGAGUUUGUAACACCCAAAGCCGGUGGGGUAACCUUCGGGAGCCAGCCGUCUAAGGUUGACCCGAG